CCCCAAUAGACGAUUGGGUUGAUAGGCCGGAGGUGGAAGCACAGUAAUGUGUGGAGCUGACCGGUACUAAUAGGCCGAGGACUUGACCAC
Molecule: ribosomal RNA, 90 nt
Filed under: Streptosporangium roseum
Lineage: Bacteria; Bacillati; Actinomycetota; Actinomycetes; Streptosporangiales; Streptosporangiaceae
Also listed under: 1 other name
Description: partial 23S ribosomal RNA
Rfam family: Bacterial large subunit ribosomal RNA
Source: RNAcentral